Molecule: long non-coding RNA, 343 nt
Organism: Drosophila elegans
Lineage: Eukaryota; Metazoa; Arthropoda; Insecta; Diptera; Drosophilidae
Exons: 3
Source: RefSeq, a predicted model, not a curated record
UUGUGGCAGGCACAUCGAUGGGCAGUGCCAUCUAUGAGGCAAAAACCGAAAGUGUCGCCAUCUAGUGGUCAGUUGGGUGCCGCGAUUGGGGUAAGAAUUUUCGGAGACGAAGAGGCAACAGCGUCAAUUGUCAUGAUCCCGGAAAACGGAGAGUUAUUCUAGGGGGGCUAACUUAGCUUCCCGCCCAGAGCCACGAGCUGCUGGCUUUCUUUCCCUUUUCGGCAGCCAUCGAGUGCGGUUUAGUUCAAUUUGGCCUUGUGUAAAGUGACGGAUAGAAUUCCCAGAUUAUAUAUAGCGCUGAAUCCUGUUUAUGGGUUUGGCGCUUAGUAUCCGAUAUUGGAUC